RNAcentral lists this ribosomal RNA (338 nucleotides) under Neochavesia caldasiae. Its description in RNAcentral is "partial 28S large subunit ribosomal RNA". The record is from RNAcentral. Lineage: Eukaryota; Metazoa; Arthropoda; Insecta; Hemiptera; Pseudococcidae.
AAACCGUUCGGGGGUAAACGGACAGAGCCCGUGAAUCCGGGCGGCAGAAUUCAGAAUCGAUGGACGCGCUCGCGUAAGCGGCUGUGCGCGUUUCGUCGUUUUAAUAUUUCCGUCGCCGUACGAAAAGUGGACGUCGCGACCCGUUCGGCGUCGGUCACAGGAGUCGCGGUAAAGUUCGCCUCCGCGUUUCGCUCUCGGGUGGGGCGCGGUGGCGAGUUCGCGGAGUCUUUUCCGACUGACUCGCCGGACGGUACGCCAUCGGUGGCCUUUGUCGUAGCUCUCCGGAGCGUUAUUACAAAUGGUGCCGGUCUGCGACGAAUUUUCGGGCCUCUUUCCGA